This 609-nucleotide ribosomal RNA is filed under the name uncultured bacterium. RNAcentral describes it as "bacterial SSU rRNA". It matches the Rfam family "Bacterial small subunit ribosomal RNA", at positions 338 to 951 of the family's 1533-position model. The record is from RNAcentral.
CCUACGGGAGGCAGCAGUGAGGAAUAUUGGACAAUGGGCGCAAGCCUGAUCCAGCCAUGCCGCGUGCAGGAAGACGGUCCUAUGGAUUGUAAACUGCUUUUAUACAGGAAGAAACACCUCUACGUGUAGAGACUUGACGGUACUGUAUGAAUAAGCAUCGGCUAACUCCGUGCCAGCAGCCGCGGUAAUACGGAGGAUGCAAGCGUUAUCCGGAAUCAUUGGGUUUAAAGGGUCCGUAGGCGGUUUAAUAAGUCAGUGGUGAAAGCCCAUCGCUCAACGAUGGAACGGCCAUUGAUACUGUUAAACUUGAAUUAUUAGGAAGUAACUAGAAUAUGUAGUGUAGCGGUGAAAUGCUUAGAGAUUACAUGGAAUACCAAUUGCGAAGGCAGGUUACUACUAAUAUAUUGACGCUGAUGGACGAAAGCGUGGGGAGCGAACAGGAUUAGAUACCCUGGUAGUCCACGCCGUAAACGAUGGAUACUAGCUGUUCGGAGCAAUCUGAGUGGCUAAGCGAAAGUGAUAAGUAUCCCACCUGGGGAGUACGUUCGCAAGAUGAAACUCAAAGGAAUUGACGGCNGAGAGAGACGACGACGACGACGAGGGAGGAGG